GAACAAUGCUGAAGCAACCUCUUCCAAGUUAUCAGGACAAGACCAUGUGAUCCAAACAGGCAUCCUGUGGUGACUGAAGAAGGGCCUACCAGCGAAGGGACUCCAUCGCCUGAGGAGCAGCUUCCGCAGGAGCUCCGGCAGGUUCCUUGGAAAACGUGGCAGUGCCGGGCCCAUGGUGCCCUGUUCAGAAAUACAAGACUCAGAUUUAGUAAAGCCAGUUGUGUAAUGUGAAAUUCGUUUAAAAAAUCCUUAACCAACACAUUUCAUUUCAUAAGACCGAUGUAUUCUAUCAACAGUCUUUUACUGUAUGUUCAUACUUAACGGCAUUAAGAAUCACCGUGAUGGGCUGGUGACAUGCAUCUGGUUCAUCAAUGUUAGUGGCAAAGCUUCCAGCAUCUACAACUCUAGUCACC
Molecule: long non-coding RNA, 413 nt
Filed under: Homo sapiens (human)
Lineage: Eukaryota; Metazoa; Chordata; Mammalia; Primates; Hominidae
Description: HSALNT0098413
Source: RNAcentral